AUACUUACCUGGCAGGGGAGGUGCCAUGGUCAUGAUGGUGGCUGUCCCAGGGCAGGGCUUGUCCAUUGUGCUCUGCGUGGGCUGACCCCUGUGAUUUCCCCAAGUGUGGGAAACUCAAGUGCAAGAUUAGUGGUGC
RNAcentral lists this small nuclear RNA (136 nucleotides) under Dasypus novemcinctus (nine-banded armadillo). RNAcentral's name for it is "U1 spliceosomal RNA (ENSDNOG00000029080.1)". It matches the Rfam family "U1 spliceosomal RNA". From Rfam's summary of the family: U1 is a small nuclear RNA (snRNA) component of the spliceosome (involved in pre-mRNA splicing). Lineage: Eukaryota; Metazoa; Chordata; Mammalia; Cingulata; Dasypodidae. The record is from RNAcentral.